RNAcentral lists this ribosomal RNA (406 nucleotides) under uncultured bacterium. RNAcentral describes it as "partial 16S ribosomal RNA". It matches the Rfam family "Bacterial small subunit ribosomal RNA", at positions 29 to 526 of the family's 1533-position model. The record is from RNAcentral.
AUUGAACGCUGGCGGCAGGCCUAACACAUGCAAGUCGAGCGAGCGGCGGACGGGUGAGUAAUGUCUGGGAAACUGCCUGAUGGAGGGGGAGACCGACUGGAAGCGGUAGCAAAUCCCGCAUACCAUCAGAUGUGCCAAGAUGGGAGUAGCUGGUGGGUGGGGUAACGGCUCACCUAGGCGACGAUCCCUAGCUGGUGUGAGAGGAUGACCAGCAACACUGGAACUGAGACACGGUCCAGACUCCGACGUGAGGCAGCAGUGGGGAAUAUUGCACAAUGGGCGAAAGCCUGAUGCAGCCAUGCCGCGUGUGUGAAGAAGGCCUUCGGGUUGUAAAGCACUUUAAGCGGGGAGGCGUUACCAGCAGAAUAAGCACCGGCUAACUCCGUGCCAGCAGCCGCGGUAAUAC